Long non-coding RNA from Macrobrachium nipponense, 1470 nucleotides. RefSeq lists it as uncharacterized. Lineage: Eukaryota; Metazoa; Arthropoda; Malacostraca; Decapoda; Palaemonidae. The record is from RefSeq and is a predicted model, not a curated record. The transcript is spliced from 3 exons.
CACAAUGAUCGUGUAUGUUCAGGAAUGACAGUCUCCAAAUACAGCCAACGCUGAGAAUGAAAUUCAAGAAUGAUCGUACGUACUCGUCUUAGAGCCUCGCGACUGGCUAGCUUCAAACACCCGGGACCACGAAAAUCGAAUAGGCGGUUAGAGUGGCUUGCGAUUUGUUCUCGUUCAUUAUCUUCAUUAUGGCAUGUUGGGCAGUUCAUAAUUACAGAAAUGGCCACAGUAAUUCUUCAAGAGAAAAUUGAUUAACAUUUCGCAGGAGAGCGCUCUGCUUGCGACUACCGAACAAGAGAACGGAAACAUUUCCAAACCAAUAGAGCGAAGUCUCCGGAAUGCAAUUUCAAGCAACCCAAAGGAAGAAUUGCUUAUUUCUAGGAUAAGAAUGACCAGUGCAGCUAAGAGAAAAUGCACACAGUAUUCUGUCGAAUAUCUUGCUUAUGGAUUCAUUGAGUCCCCACAAAAUACUACAGUGCCUAUGUGCCUGCUAUGCAUGAUCUCACUCUCAAAUGAAAGUAUGCGUCCCUGCAAACUGAAAAAGCAUCUGGAGACUGCACAUAAAUAAAGACAAGAAAGACAAGCCGCUAGCUUUCUUCAAAAAAUUACGUGAUGAGUUCCAAGGCAGGAUGACAGGGAAUCAUAUGUUUACCCAAAAAGUGGCAAAAGUAGAAAGAGGAAUGUUGACUUCUUACAAGAUAGCAAAUUUGAUUGCAAAAGCAUGUAAGCCUCAUACUACCGGUGAAUCUCUUAUCAUGCCGGCAGUGGCUGUAGUGCUUUCAACAGUCAUGCAUCAGAGUCCACAAGAGGUAACGAGUGUUAUUCCUCUGAGCAACUCCUCAGUACCACGCCGUAUUGAUGAAACGGCAGCUGAUGUUGAAAACCAAUUAGUCUCAAAACUGCAGGUAAAUGAUUUCUCGCUUCAACUCGACGAAUCAACUUUACCUGAUAAUUCUGCUCUUCUGAUGGCAUUUGUGAGGUUUCUUGAUGUUGAUGAAAUAUGUCAAGAAAUGCUUUUCGCAUUGAAAUAACGACUGACACUAAAGGUGAAUCCAUCUUCAAAAAACUUAAGGUCUAUUUUGAGGAGAACAACAUUCCACUCAAGAACAUUGUGGCUUGUGCAACAGAUGGCGCUGCUGCUAUGAUUGGAAGGUAUCUGGGAUUUAGUGCUUACUAAAAAAAAAGCUGUUCGUAUGUCGUUUGUGUGCAUUGUGUUGUUCACCCGCAGCACCUGGUUGCCAAAAGCUUAGCAGGACACGUCUGCAUGAAGCAAUUGGGCAUGUUAUCAAGGCUGUCAACUUGAUAAAAAAGAAAGUGCACUGCAAGAUCGCCUCUUUCAGCAAUUAUGUGAAAAGAACAUUGAAGAAUUUGAACGACUUGUGUUGCACACUGAAGGGUAAUUGCCUGCAUCGUUUUGUUGCACUUUGGGACAGUUAUCUUUCAAGAUAGAGCCAAUUGUACCUACAUGUA